This 253-nucleotide ribosomal RNA is filed under the name uncultured bacterium. Its description in RNAcentral is "partial 16S ribosomal RNA". It matches the Rfam family "Bacterial small subunit ribosomal RNA", at positions 524 to 776 of the family's 1533-position model. The record is from RNAcentral.
UACGUAGGGCGCAAGCGUUGUCCGGAAUUAUUGGGCGUAAAGAGCUCGUAGGCGGUUUGUCGCGUCGGAUGUGAAAUUUUAGGGCUCAACCCUGACAUUGCAUCUGAUACGGGCAGGCUAGAGUUCGGUAGGGGAGACUGGAAUUCCUGGUGUAGCGGUGAAAUGCGCAGAUAUCAGGAGGAACACCGGUGGCGAAGGCGGGUCGCUGGGCCGAUACUGACGCUGAGGAGCGAAAGCGUGGGGAGCGAACAGG